GGAGGAAAGGCCCAUAGAUCAGUGGUGGAGCAUCUGCCUCGCAAGCAGAAGAUCCCAGGUUCAGUUCCUGACACCUCCA
Molecule: non-coding RNA, 79 nt
Organism: Podarcis lilfordi (Lilford's wall lizard)
Lineage: Eukaryota; Metazoa; Chordata; Lepidosauria; Squamata; Lacertidae
Source: the annotation of a GenBank genome assembly